GAGCGGUCAACAGAACUUUAUUCACUAGAAACUGGGCCACACAGACCCAGCAGGGAGCUGCAUGCCCCUAGGCUGGCCCCUUCUGUAUUUGGACCCUAGUCAAAUGUGCACGGUCUGCCCUCCCCAGUGCCAGGGAGAGACAAACAGAAGGGGAAUGCCAAUGUUCAAUGGGGAGUGAAAAGGGUAGGAGUAGAAAUCUGGUUAUCCCUCCUGAGGCUCCCAGUGGAGCUGGGGUGCCAGAGGGUAUGUGGUCCCAAAGCCAGGUGCAGACACCCACCCUCCAAGGGGUAAACUCUUGAUCCUAGCUCUUGGAUCAGGUUGGGAGGGAGCCUCGUAAGAUCAAGACAGGCAGAAGUGGUAGCUCUAAGGGCACCUGAGAGAUACUAUCCCCAAGGCUUACCAGGGCACGGGCGCUCUGGCUGAAAGCAAAGGUUCAAGAUCAUUCCAAGGCCCCUGAGUUGCCCAAACACCCAAAUGACAGUGCUUUGUUGUGGCUGAAGCUGGGGAGGAAAUGGGGAGGGGCCAGGGAGAGGACCUGCAAAUCCCCAACAGAAAAACCAGAAGCACAGGGGGGGAGCCCCAGAGGCUGGCAUCUGGAUGGGCCCUGGCAACCUGGAGGGGAGUCCACGGCAGUCUCGGGGCCUUGCAUAGUGUGACACACUCACCACCUCCGGCGCCACAGGGACCCACUGGGUAAGGAAGAGCUGUUACCCUGCCCCACCCGGCUCAUAAGUCUUCCAGAGUAUCCUAUCUCAAUGUCCUGGAUGUAUGGCUUAGAGGCUUGGCAUGACAGCCAUGGGGGCAGGAGGGAAUUCAGGCCGGAAACCGAGAGGUCGGGUGUUAAAGCUGUCCUAGCACAGGUGGCUUCAUGAAGCACAGACGGGUGGGCAGACAGGGAAGGAGUCUUCAGAGGUAGACAUUGAGGGUCUGCAGAAUGCCCCGGCG
This 945-nucleotide long non-coding RNA is filed under the name Lynx pardinus (Iberian lynx). The record is from RNAcentral. Lineage: Eukaryota; Metazoa; Chordata; Mammalia; Carnivora; Felidae.